Bombyx mori (domestic silkworm) is the source of this 83-nucleotide non-coding RNA. NCBI's taxonomy places the organism in Eukaryota, Metazoa, Arthropoda, Insecta, Lepidoptera, Bombycidae. The record is from Rfam.
UUAACUCAAAUUUGUAUGGAGUUGGAACGUUUGCUACGUUUGUCGCUAGGGGCGCUCUUCCAACUUUAUACAAAUUUCAGUUA